Centruroides sculpturatus (bark scorpion) is the source of this 474-nucleotide long non-coding RNA. RefSeq lists it as uncharacterized. NCBI's taxonomy places the organism in Eukaryota, Metazoa, Arthropoda, Arachnida, Scorpiones, Buthidae. The record is from RefSeq and is a predicted model, not a curated record. The transcript is spliced from 3 exons.
UCGCACGUUCGAAUGAAUAAUCGUAUUUGUCGUUUAAAUUCGGUGACGUCAGUCGAGUUUAAAUUUUUAAAUUCCAUCGAUCUGAUUCGUCGCUUCGUUUAUGGUAAUUAAACCGUUAUUUAAUUAAUUCCGUUUUAUGUUAUUAAAUUUAUUCGAAAUUCGGGGUUACGAGGUUAAGAAAUUCGGGAAGACGAAAUCGUGUAAGCGUGAAUUCACGCCCGAAGUGGUUCCCUUUGUGUUUAACCUCGAGAAUUCCCGAUUUAUAACAAGUUAUUACGAAUCAAUGUCGAUCUCGAAAGUCUUCUUGUUAUUGCUAUCAUCGAAUUAACCGAAUUUUUCAGUGUGUUACUCGCUAGGCCAGCUUCCUUAUCAAUUAAACUACCGAACCAAAUAAUCGAUAAUGCAAGAAGUUGAGCCAAAGUUUUCAAAUAUCUUGCCAAAGUAAAGAAGGGAAUAAAGGAAGAAAGAAAGGGG